UGACGAGACAGUCCGUAAGGACCAAGUCACUGAUGCCACGCUUCCAGGAAAAACUUCUAAGCGUCAGAUCACGAGGACCGUACCGCAAUCCGACACAGGUAGGCAGGGUGAGAGUCCCAAGGCGCUUGAGAGAACUCGGGUGAAGGAACUAGGCAACAUGGCACCGUAACUUCGGGAGAAGGUGCGCCUUCAUGGGUGGCCACGUGCGUGGCACAAGCUCGUGGAGGCCGCAGUAACCAGGCCGCUGCGACUGUUUAUCAAAAACACAGCACUCUGCAAACACGAAAGUGGACGUAUAGGGCGUGACGCCUGCCCGGUGCCGGAAGGUUAAUUGAUGGGGUCAGCCGCAAGGCGAAGCUCUUGAUCGAAGCCCCGGUAAACGGCGGCCGUAACGAUAACGGUCCUAAGGUAGCGAAAUUCCUUGUCGGGUAAGUUCCGACCUGCACGAAUGGCGUAACGACAGCGGCGCUGUCUCCACCCGAGACUCAGUGAUAUUGAAAUCGCUGUGAAGAUGCAGCGUUCCCGCGGCAAGACGGAAAGACCCCGUGAACCUUUACUAUAGCUUUACACUGAACGUUGAGUUCUUCUGUGUAGGAUAGGUGGGAGGCUUUGAAGUGCGGCGCUAGCUUGCAUGGAGCCACCCUUGAAAUACCACCCUGAAGUGCUUGACGUUCUAACCUGGGCCCGUAAUCCGGGUCAGGGACCGUGUAUGGUGGGUAGUUUGACUGGGGCGGUCUCCUCCCAAAGAGUAACGGAGGAGCACGAAGGUACGUUCAGCACGGUCGGACAUCGUGCAAUGAGUGCAAAGGCAUAAACGUGCUUGACUGCAAGAUCGACGGAUCAAGCAGGUACGAAAGUAGGUCUUAGUGAUCCGGUGGUUCUGUAUGGAAGGGCCAUCGCUCAACGGAUAAAAGGUACUCCGGGGAUAACAGGCUGAUACCGCCCAAGAGUUCAUAUCGACGGCGGUGUUUGGCACCUCGAUGUCGGCUCAUCACAUCCUGGGGCUGUAGCCGGUCCCAAGGGUAUGGCUGUUCGCCAUUUAAAGUGGUACGCGAGCUGGGUUCAGAACGUCGUGAGACAGUUCGGUCCCUAUCUGCCGUGGGCGUUGGAGAUUUGAGAGGGGCUGCUCCUAGUACGAGAGGACCGGAGUGGACGAACCUCUGGUGUACCGGUUGUCACGCCAGUGGCAUUGCCGGGUAGCUACGUUCGGAAGCGAUAACCGCUGAAAGCAUCUAAGCGGGAAGCGCGCCUCAAGAUGAAAUCUCCCGGGACUUAAAGUCCCCUGAAGGAACGAUGAAGACUACGUCGUGAAUAGGCCGGGUGUGUAAGCGCAGUAAUGCGUUC
Molecule: ribosomal RNA, 1344 nt
Filed under: metagenome
Description: bacterial LSU rRNA
Rfam family: Bacterial large subunit ribosomal RNA
Source: RNAcentral